UUUUUGAAUGUCGAGAUCAGUAUGCUCUAGUCUCCUCCAUGCUGCUCUCCAUUAUCAGUGCACCAGGCUCUCUGCAGCUGCAAUGUUCAGUCCUGCAUUGAUAUUUCCUCUUUGAAGACUGCAAGUCCCUCCUUCUGAUGCUUUCUUAAUUGCUUUCUCCUUAGGUCAGUGCAUCUGUGAGACACCCGUUUGCCUGCAUGAGUUCAUAUCAUCUUCAGACAUCGUGGUUGGCUUUCCAAAGCCACAAUUGCAGCAGUGUUUGAGUAGGAAAUGAGCCAUGAGGACAUAAACCUGGUGAAUCUCCAUCACAAGAAGGACACCAUGCUGUCCACCUCAUGAAGGAAGAUGAGGUUAAGUUCCACACACAUGGAAGAACAGAAUUGAUAGGAAAUGCUAACUAAUGGCUUCGUGUGAGAAACAAAGUAAGGGACAACACAGAGGACCCAGGACAGAAACUGGGACAUUUUGCCUGGAUCUGCACCUGAGUGACCUUGUAAAUUUGAGUAAGUCAUUGUGGUUCUACUGUCUUCCUUUUCUUCACCAACUAAGAGGUAGGAUGGGGUUGAAUGGGACAGUUUAAUUUCUUUGGUGCUUACAUUCUAAGAUUCUAUGAUUUUAUAUA
RNAcentral lists this long non-coding RNA (622 nucleotides) under Vulpes vulpes (red fox). Its description in RNAcentral is "lncRNA (ENSVVUG00000012122.1)". Lineage: Eukaryota; Metazoa; Chordata; Mammalia; Carnivora; Canidae. The record is from RNAcentral.